This 253-nucleotide ribosomal RNA is filed under the name uncultured bacterium. RNAcentral describes it as "partial 16S ribosomal RNA". It matches the Rfam family "Bacterial small subunit ribosomal RNA", at positions 524 to 776 of the family's 1533-position model. The record is from RNAcentral.
GACGUAGGGUCCGAGCGUUGUCCGGAGUUACUGGGCGUAAAGGGCGCGUAGGCGGCUUUGUGCGUCACCCGUGAAAGCCCCCGGCUCAACCGGGGAGGGUCGGGUGAAACGGCGGAGCUGGAGGCAGCGAGAGGCUGGUGGAAUUCCCGGAGUAGUGGUGAAAUGCGUAGAGAUCGGGAGGAACACCAAUGGCGAAGGCAGCUCGCUGGGACGGUACUGACGCUGAGGAGCGAAAGCGUGGGGAGCGAACAGG